CAGUAACGGCGAGCGAACAGGGAAGAGCCCAGCACUGAAUCGCGCGCCCUGAAGGACGCUGCGAAAUGUAGUGUGUGGGAGAAUCCGCUAUUUCGUGAUUUUGCAUUGCGUCCAAGUCCUUCUUGAACGGGGCCAUUUGCCCACAGAGGGUGCCAGGCCCGUAGUGACCAUUGCUAAUUGCGAAAGGAUUGCUCCUUAGAGUCGGGUUGCUUGAGAGUGCAGCCCUAAGUAGGUGGUAAACUCCAUCUAAGGCUAAAUAAAACCACGAGACCGAUAGCGAACAAGUACCGUGAGGGAAAGUUGAAAAGAACUUUGGAGAGAGAGUUCAAUAGUACGUGAAACCGUUUAAGGGUAAACCUGAGAAACCCGAAAAUUCGAAAGGGGAGAUUCAGUGUGGUUUGCCUUCCACGAGUGCAGUUCGUGGACAGCGAUCGUUCGCGGUUGUUGCUGCGUUCGUGCGCCGUUGAUUGACAAACACAUGCACUUCUCCUCAAGUAGGACGUCACGACCCGUUGGGCGUCGGUCUACGGCUUACGGUGGAGCUCGUUCAGCCUUGUCAACUGUUCGAACCCGUAAUGUCCCGGCCGACUACUCGACGGUAAAGUUUUGGCGCAGAGCCGCGAUUUACUCGCGUCUGGCCCGCUGCAAGCGUGAACGGUUAUUCGAACGUCGGACUUGCGCCGGCCUCGAAGCCCUUCAGCUGUUUGUGCCGGUGCUCUCAGACAGACUUGAUACGCCUGUCUGUGACGCUUUAGCUUUGGGUACUUUCAGGACCCGUCUUGAAACACGGACCAAGGAGUCUAGCAUGUACGCGAGUCAUUGGGACUAGAUAAUCCAAUAGGCGAAAUGAAAGCGAAAGUCGGGCUUGGCCCGACCGAGGGAAGAUGUGUGACUUCGGUCGCUCCGCAUUCCCAGGGCGUCUCAAUCACAUUGCGUGAUGAAGCGCACCCAGAGCGUACACGCUGGGA
RNAcentral lists this ribosomal RNA (968 nucleotides) under Labidomimus sp. JP-2017. Its description in RNAcentral is "eukaryotic LSU rRNA". It matches the Rfam family "Eukaryotic large subunit ribosomal RNA", at positions 81 to 814 of the family's 3401-position model. The record is from RNAcentral. Lineage: Eukaryota; Metazoa; Arthropoda; Insecta; Coleoptera; Staphylinidae.